Coturnix japonica (Japanese quail) is the source of this 1891-nucleotide non-coding RNA. Lineage: Eukaryota; Metazoa; Chordata; Aves; Galliformes; Phasianidae. The record is from RefSeq and is a predicted model, not a curated record.
CGGCACGGCAGUUUGCACUGCGAGCGAGCAGGCAGGGCAAGGAAUGACACCUUGCCAUAGACGAGGAGGCUUAACUAGUCAUUUAACAGGUAGAUGCUCUCUGGAUGCCCCACCGUACAACCACGUCUCCACACGGCAGCUAGCUGCUACUAAAAGUAAUUUGGAGACUCAAACUGAAAGCAUGUACUCUCAUGCUGCAGUUCAGUUCCCUGACUGCGGAGAAUACAGGUCAGCAUGGAUACCUCUUGUGAACAGAGAAGAAUGAAUUUGGUGAGAACCCUGGAGAAGCACUAACAUUUUGGCAGAAGGAAGGUCUAUACUAUACAGUGCUGGUGGAAGGAAACACUUUCCUAGUAUAGAAAAAAGCAUUAAAGGUGAAAAUUGGACAGCACAGAGUUGCUGUGAAGUAUAUAAUUGCAGUCUGUGCUGCACACUCAACAGAAUUAACUCUGGGAAUCAGCUAUGUUUACCUUCUGCAAGCUUUCAGUGAUAACAAAAGCUGAAGACUGAGAAGUUGUUUCAGCUUACCUGAUGUGGCAGCCAAAGCCACUGACUUUAUCUCAUUCAGCUGUACACCUGUACGACGUUCUCCUCCUGCUCCCUGCCCAGCAGCACGUGUCAUCUGCUGUGUGAGGUUACCUGGUGUUUGCUGCCCCACACAAGUCUCAGAAAAUGUACACAGAUAUCAUUCUGCUGUCAGCAAAACAGCCGUGGGCAGAAAACUGAGACAGUGUGGUGCCAAGAACAGGAAAAUGACAAGGUAUUCUGGACUGUGCCAUACAGAAGAAUUCUGUUUAUCCACCACCAUUUGCCAUGGGGCAACAUUUUCUAGUAAAGUUUAAAAAAAUAUAAAGGCAAUACACACACGCAAAAUAAAUUUGCUAGGGUGUAACCAUUGAAAUCACCACUGGUUCUAAGAGAGCACAUUCAGCUUGUUUUGGAGCCUCUACUAGGUUCUUUAUUGUCACAAAGUUUUCUACUGCUUUAUCAAUAUUGCUCUCGCUGGUUUAAAACUACCCUGUGUAUACACCUGUCAUCCUCAUUACUUUUUUCAGUAAGAAUGCCUUUGUGUAAGAAAUCAGAAGCAUCUAUGAAUUUUCACACUAUGGAAUUACCUUUGUGAAGCCAUAGAAUAACUUCAGACUGUAGAAACCCCUGGUGGUCCCUUCUCUACAAAGCUGUAAUACGUCAGGUUGCUCAGGACAGUCAAGUUUCCUGUCUCUCUGAAGAUGUAGAACCCAUAGCCUCUCUGAGAAACAUAUUCAUUACUUCCUACUUAAUUUUCUUCCUCACAGAAAAGUUAAAGAGAGAGAGUUGUUGUUAUUUGUUCGCUUUAUACCCUUUUUACCUGAACACACUGUACAUUUUUCAGUGACCUGGGUAACCUGAUUAGCAGUCAGUCUUGAAAAACAAGAGAGGUAAUAAUAGAGUAUUUUGUCCUCUUUUCCCUGAAGAGAAAUAUUCUGUUUUUUGCAUAUGAGCUUUUUAUUAUAACAGCAACCCCAAAUGUCCCAUUCCUGGUCAUAUACCUAUAGUUAGUAAUUAUUUUUUUCCCAGAUGAAACCACACUCUCAAAGUAUACAUGGACCUUACAUAAUAAGAUGUUGAAAUAUCUGCUUUUUUUUUUUAUCAUUAUUUUUUUUUUCCCUACAGAAAUGCUGGCUUUAUGCUGAAGGAAUAUUAAUACUAGUUUAAAUAGAAUAACACUGAAUGUUCUGAUAAGUCUGAUGGUGUUGAAGGAGAAUGAGGUGUCUAUGCCUUUUAAUAUUCUGCUAAAGGAAGAUGUAGUCAGCUCUGUGUAUGGGCAGAUGCUAUUGCUUCUGUGCAUCUGAUAACCACUUGGUUUAAAGAAGUGUGUCUGACUUCUUUGUUCCUCUUUUUCCCACCUCCU